CAAUACAGCCCUAAUUCUUUAUCCCUCUUUUUCCCAAACAACACCUCUUUCUCUCUCUCUCUCUCUCUCUCCCCCUCCCUCCCCAAGCUUUGCAGCUCCUCAAACUGGAACUUACCGCCGGGAUCGACGAGGUCCGCACCGCAACCUACCGUCGACAGUGACGAGCUCCUCCGUCGACGUUAACGAGGUCCCGUGCCAGAACAUACCACCUAGACCGACGAGCUCCUCCUUUCCGUCGAAUAGCUCCUCCUUCACCAAAUAAACUGUAACAACAGCUCUCUCACACCCCAGACACCCGAUCAAUAUCUCUAGGAAUCUAUAAGGACCAGCCCAGAACUUCUGCUAAAUCCUGUGAGAACCAUCUUGACAUAAUUAGCAGGCCUAAAGAUUGGGAGAAAGUCCCUGAUCCUAAGAAGUAUUUUGUCCAAUUUUUUGGAACAGAAGAGAUAGAACACCAUCCAUUAGUUGAAAAGGCAGCUCAUCAGCAAGUCAGUAGUGAAGAAUCUGGAGUUGAUUUUGGCAAUCCAAAGCCAAGAGCUUGAUAUUAGCAG
This is a long non-coding RNA of Rosa chinensis, 551 nucleotides long. RefSeq lists it as uncharacterized. NCBI's taxonomy places the organism in Eukaryota, Viridiplantae, Streptophyta, Magnoliopsida, Rosales, Rosaceae. The record is from RefSeq and is a predicted model, not a curated record. The transcript is spliced from 4 exons.